GCAAUGGUGGUUCAGUGGUAGAAUUCUCGCCUGCCACGCGGGAGACCCGGGUCGAUUACCGGCCAAUGCA
RNAcentral lists this transfer RNA (70 nucleotides) under Danio rerio (zebrafish). It matches the Rfam family "tRNA". From Rfam's summary of the family: Transfer RNA (tRNA) molecules are approximately 80 nucleotides in length. Their secondary structure includes four short double-helical elements and three loops (D, anti-codon, and T loops). Lineage: Eukaryota; Metazoa; Chordata; Actinopteri; Cypriniformes; Danionidae. The record is from Rfam by way of RNAcentral.